This 226-nucleotide long non-coding RNA is filed under the name Phoenix dactylifera (date palm). RNAcentral describes it as "long non-coding RNA (PDAC_LNC001973)". Lineage: Eukaryota; Viridiplantae; Streptophyta; Magnoliopsida; Arecales; Arecaceae. The record is from RNAcentral.
UUCUCCUUCAGAGGUUUAAACCAUCCUAAACUUCAAUAUAGAUUUGUUGGACCUUUGGAUUCCAACAAGAUAACUGUAUAAGAUAACAAAACUUCAAGAUCCUAUUGUAGCACCACUUUAUUCCCAUAGUUUCGCACUCUUGUUGCCUUAGGAUGAAAUCACCCAGAAGAAGAAAAGAGAGGCAGAAGAUGGGAGAGGAAAAGAAGAAUGGGGCAGAGACUAGCAA